GGGCCGGUAGUCCUAAGGCAGAGCCCCCGGCCCAUAACCGGAGAGUUCCGGGCUCGGAUCCCGGCCGGCCCGCCA
This 75-nucleotide transfer RNA is filed under the name Deltaproteobacteria bacterium. RNAcentral describes it as "tRNA-Met". The record is from RNAcentral. Lineage: Bacteria; Pseudomonadati; Myxococcota; Myxococcia.